RNAcentral lists this ribosomal RNA (270 nucleotides) under uncultured bacterium. RNAcentral's name for it is "partial 16S ribosomal RNA". It matches the Rfam family "Bacterial small subunit ribosomal RNA", at positions 28 to 302 of the family's 1533-position model. The record is from RNAcentral.
GACGAACGCUGGCGGCGUGCUUAACACAUGCAAGUCGAGCGGAAAGGCCCUUCGGGGUACUCGAGCGGCGAACGGGUGAGUAACACGUGAGCAAUCUGCCCCUAGCUUCGGGAUAGCUCCGGGAAACCGGAAUUAAUACCGAAUAUGACUCCGGCCGACAUCGGCUGUGGUGGAAAACUUUUGCGGCUAGGGAUGAGCUCGCGGCCUAUCAGCUUGUUGGUGGGGUAAUGGCCUACCAAGGCGACGACGGGUAGCCGGCCUGAGAGGGCG